GUGAGGAAUAUUGGUCAAUGGACGAGAGUCUGAACCAGCCAAGUCGCGUGAAGGAAGACGGUUCUAUGAAUUGUAAACUUCUUUUGUGCAGGAAUAAAGUGGGUUACGUGUAACCUUUUGUAUGUACUGUACGAAUAAGGAUCGGCUAACUCCGUGCCAGCAGCCGCGGUAAUACGGAGGAUCCGAGCGUUAUCCGGAUUUAUUGGGUUUAAAGGGUGCGUAGGUGGAUUGAUAAGUCAGCGGUGAAAGUUUGCAGCUUAACUGUAAAAUUACUGUUUAAACUGUCGGUCUUGAGUGCAAAUGAGGUAGGCGGAAUGUGUUGUGUAGCGGUCAAAUGCUUAGAUAUAACACAGAACUCCGAGUGCGAAGGCAGCUUACUGGGAUGCAACUGACACUGAUGCACGAAAGCGUGGGUAUCAAACAGGAUUAGAAACCCCGGUAGUCC
This 445-nucleotide ribosomal RNA is filed under the name uncultured bacterium. RNAcentral's name for it is "partial 16S ribosomal RNA". It matches the Rfam family "Bacterial small subunit ribosomal RNA", at positions 354 to 796 of the family's 1533-position model. The record is from RNAcentral.